Molecule: ribosomal RNA, 253 nt
Filed under: uncultured bacterium
Lineage: Bacteria
Description: partial 16S ribosomal RNA
Rfam family: Bacterial small subunit ribosomal RNA
Source: RNAcentral
UACGGGGGGGGCGAGCGUUGUUCGGAAUUACUGGGCGUAAAGGGUUCGUAGGUGGCCUGCUAAGUCAGACGUGAAAUCCCUCAGCUUAACUGGGGAACUGCGUCUGAAACUGGCGGGCUUGAGUGCAGGAGAGGAACGCGGAAUUCCAGGUGUAGCGGUGAAAUGCGUAGAUAUCUGGAGGAACACCGGUGGCGAAGGCGGCAUCCUGGACCAAUAUUGACGCUGAGGAGCGAAAGCUAGGGGAGCAAACGGG